This 2893-nucleotide long non-coding RNA is filed under the name Sus scrofa (pig). RNAcentral's name for it is "lncRNA (ENSSSCG00025074111.1)". The record is from RNAcentral. Lineage: Eukaryota; Metazoa; Chordata; Mammalia; Artiodactyla; Suidae.
AUCUUGAUGUGUGAAAUUCUCCCCCCCCCAAAUCUAUAUAUUUUAUUAACUGUCAAAUAUCAUAAAAACCUACAUUUUAAAUGAAAAUAUACUCUGAAACUAAAGCUAGACUAUGUAUAACCAAAGAAGUUUUAGACUGGUAUCAUUAUGAUCAUGGAUAAGAACAUCUGUAAGAAUUUAUUAUUGAAAGAUUAGAAGAGUAAGCUGUGUCACCAUAUAGAGUUUAUUCCUCUAACACACAAUAGUGAUUCUCUCAGGUAACUUAAAAAUUAUUCUACACUUUGGCCCAUAAUUCAUCUUUGUGAUUUUUGUCUUAAGUAAAUUAUUCCAAAAUAUUUUAUAUAAAAGUAUGUUUAGCACCAGAUGGUAUUUUUCGUUGGCAGCCUCUAAGAUGGCCCUUAAUAAUUGAUCCCCAUCUUCUUAUGUUCACAUUCUUGUAUGAUCCCCUCCUGCUGAAUGACUAGAUUUGGUGACUCACUCAUAACAAAUAGAUUGUUAUAAAACACUGUGGCUUCUGUCUUGGGGGCUGCUACUCUCUUUUUACACAUGCUAAGUGUGAUUUUAACUACACUUGGGAUCAAUCUUUUUUUUUCCCUCACCCCAGAAGCUUACGAGAAGGAAACAUAUGAAGUAAUGAUACUCUAUGUGGAAACAUAUGAAGUAGUGAUACUCUAUGUCUUUAAGUGUUAGGACUGUGUGAUUUGUUCUGCUUUUCUUUAUUUUUCUCUUCCCUUUCAAUAUCAUGUAUUAUUUUAUAGUGGAGAAAUGCUUAUGAAGAAAAAGGGAAGAUUGGGAAAACCAGAGGAAAAGAACAAAGAACAUGUAGGUUUAAACACAUGCAACAUUUGAGAAAUAUUUGGGGAGAAAAAGUUGUGAAUUUAUGCAUUUAUAUUUAAGUAUAUACAAGAAAGAUAUAUAUUUCAAGAUUAUGUAAUAUUUAAAAUUUGUCUAGUGAUCAUAUAUCACUUAUAAUAAGAAAAGUAAUGCAACAUGAGAUGUUUACAAAAAAUACUGGUAAAUUUGUACCUGGUACUCUCAGAUGAAAAGUACUAUGUAAAUCCACAACAUUAUUUCUUGAUGAUAAUUUAGUCACAAUUUAUUUUGAGUUCAAUAGUAAUUUAGGCAACAGAAUUUACUAGCACAUCUUUGCUAGUUUGUUUGUGCACAGAUCUCAAUCCUUCAACCAAUGAAGACUUUUGGCAUCAAUAUUUUUGUAAACGACAUUCAGCAAUGCUUUGCUAUCCAACCUUCUCAUUGUCAGUUUACCUCCCAUCUUCCAGUUCAUUCUCUCUCAUGUUGGUGCCUUCCAUGAUGGCUGAUUCCACCUCCUCUGGAGUCUGUUGCAGAUCACUACAGUGUAGCUGUCUAGCCAAGAUCUCCUGAACAGAAACAUUAAAUUGCUUCAGAUUAUUUGGACCAGUUACAUUUUCUGCAGCAAGAACUGAAAUAAAGCAAGAGCAACCUGCAUUUGAAGCAAAGGAUUGAGGCUAUCAUAAAGAGAAAAUCAAUAGCUGGUUUGAAUAGAAUGCCAGUUUACUUUCAUGAUCUGUGCAGAGGUUAACAACCUCUUGGGGCCAGCACAAUGUAUGACACACAGUGAAUACACAGUUCUGAAGGAUAACUGACUGAAUUAUGCUUUUGCAAUAUCAGAGAGCAAUCAUCCACCCUGGUUGAAGCCAUCCUAGUGAAUAUUUUUGGUGGAAUCGUCAACUGUGCCAUCAUUGCCAAUGGGAUCACCAAAGCAUGCCGGGAGCUGGAACUCAAGGUGCCUCUGGUGGUCCGGCUUGAAGGAACCAAUGUCCACGAAGCCCAGAACAUUCUCACUAACAGCGGACUCCCCAUUACUUCGGCUGUCGACCUGGAGGAUGCAGCCAAGAAGGCUGUGGCCAGCGUGACUAAGAAGUGAUGCCUUUGUCCUGAUCCCUCGGAGGAAGAAGUUUUCCCAUAAGAAGGGAUUGUUCUCUCAUCACUGUGAAAGAAAUGGUUAUCCCAAUGAGGGGAAAAAAAAAAAAAAACAGAAGAAGGGAAGAGCAAGAAGCACUGUAUUAAAAAAUCUUAAAUCGGUUUUUUCUUGAAUAAGAUAUCUAGACAGCCUAAAUAAUCUGAUUUCCCUUAUAAUAUAAUGCCCUGGGUUCUCAUACUUUUCUGUCCUGGUGAGCCAGCUCAGUAGGCAUUGUUUUGCCAACUUUGGAGAACUGUCCAUAUGGCCAGACAUUGUGUGUAUAUACAGCAUUUGAGAUCAGGCUCUGGUUCAUUUACGGUAAAUUUGGUGAACAUUUCAUCCUGUGUUAAUUAAAAAAAAAAAGUCACAGGCUAUUAAAAAAACUCAGACAAGAUUACAUUUAGCAGAUUAACCGUGAAAAAGGUACAACUAAGACAUUCAAACAAACAUCUGUUAUAAACUGCAACAGUUUUUACAAUUUCUAAUUCUAACAUGUUUGGAAAAUCUGUGAAUAUUACAAAAAUGUAUUUUACAAUGGAAAAUCUGCAUUAAUAUCCUAUAUAUGUGUCCUCCCAUUUGCCUUAAUAUUAAAUAUACUGUUUAACUCACACUAAAAAUAAAGCCAGAAGCCUUUUUUGUGAUUUUGGAGUAGAAGGUUCUCUUUUUACAUCAAAACUGAAGACUGUGAAUUCUUAUGGAAAUCACUGAUUCAGUCAUUUCAAGAUGAGACAGCAUCGAAGAUCAGAUUAUGCUGUGUCACUGUCUUCCCUCCCCUCCUCGUACCCACUAUAAUCUACCACCUGAGAAAAUGUUAUUGAGAGAAUGUGCCUUUUUUUGCAUAAUGUCCAUUCUUGUGGUGAGAAAGAAUGUGAAUUAGAUUUUUGUCUAAAUUUUGAUAAAUUUUGAUCUGUACACAAAUUCAAAUAAAGUCCUCUGUUUUGUAAACUCUAA